RNAcentral lists this ribosomal RNA (301 nucleotides) under uncultured bacterium. RNAcentral's name for it is "partial 16S ribosomal RNA". It matches the Rfam family "Bacterial small subunit ribosomal RNA", at positions 509 to 807 of the family's 1533-position model. The record is from RNAcentral.
CAGCCGCCACGGUAACACGAGGGGGGCAAGCGUUGUUCGGAAUUAUUGGGCGUAAAGGGUGCGUAGGCGGCUUGACAAGUCUUGUGUGAAAUCUAUGGGCUCAACCCAUAGUCUGCACGGGAAACUGUCGGGCUUGAGAAUGGGAGAGGUGAGUGGAAUUUCCGGUGUAGCGGUGAAAUGCGUAGAUAUCGGAAGGAACACCUGUGGCGAAAGCGGCUCACUGGACCAUUUCUGACGCUGAUGCACGAAAGCUAGGGGAGCAAACAGGAUUAGAUACCCCCGUAGUCCCUGUCUCUUAUAC